CAUGGUCACUCCUGCUGGAUGUCUGGAAGGUGAAAACCAAGGACCUAGGGAAAUACCAGGUACAGCCUUUCCACCCUCAUCCAGAGCAGGACAAACAGGCCAGGUGGUAUCAGGAGCCCAGGUCUCCAGCUGGAGGGAAUGUCAACCCUGCAGUGGGAGCCCAUCACGCAUCCUAGGCACAGAUGCUAAUGUAGGCACCGCGGGUAAGCUGAGCUUGGUACCCCUCCCUGGCUUCAAAAAUAAGCCAAACAAGGAGCUUUCUGCAGAAUGAAACCUGUUUUUCAUCCAGAAGCACUGCUGACUGUUUGGUGGUUGCUGUUGGGGCAGUGAGCCUUUUGUCCAU
This 343-nucleotide long non-coding RNA is filed under the name Homo sapiens (human). Its description in RNAcentral is "non-protein coding FAM95A:4". The record is from RNAcentral. Lineage: Eukaryota; Metazoa; Chordata; Mammalia; Primates; Hominidae.